AUUCAGUUGACGAGUCCAAAACUGGACGAAACAUGUGUCUUAGGU
This 45-nucleotide non-coding RNA is filed under the name Schistosoma margrebowiei. The record is from RNAcentral. Lineage: Eukaryota; Metazoa; Platyhelminthes; Trematoda; Strigeidida; Schistosomatidae.